Molecule: long non-coding RNA, 1282 nt
Filed under: Chlamydomonas reinhardtii
Lineage: Eukaryota; Viridiplantae; Chlorophyta; Chlorophyceae; Chlamydomonadales; Chlamydomonadaceae
Description: long non-coding RNA (CREI_LNC000042)
Source: RNAcentral
AAGCAGCCGCAGCAGGAGUAGCCGAAACUGUCGCAGUCACGCCCGCCUUCUUCGGCGCGUGCAAGCCCUCCAGCACCACCUUCACCUUGCCGUACACAUCGUCCGGAGCCGCCACAGCGCUGAUCACGUGGCACUUGCCCUGCGUAAGGUAGUGGUCCUUCACAGGCAGCGACUGAUCCAGGAAGGUGCGGAAGCGCUUGCGAAUGGUGUCGGCGUUGUCGUCGCUGCGGCCGCUGGUCUCCCCGCGCUUCAGCAGGCGCUUCUCCAUCUCCUCCUCCGGGCAGUCGAAGAACAGCACCGUCUUGCACGGCAUGAUGCUGCUCUCAAACUGCGCCGCCUGGUCCAGCGCGCGCGGAAAGCCGUCGAUGAGGAAGAACUUGCCGCCGCUGGCUAUCAUGUCCCGCUUCAGCAGGUUAAGCGUGACAGCCACCGGCACGAGCUUGCCCUCCUUCAUCAGCGCCUCGCACUUCUGGCCGACCUCGCUGCCGCUCUUCACCUCAGCGCGCAGCAGGUCGCCGGCGCUGAGGUGCACGCACUCGUAGUCGGCCUUAAUCUUGUCGCAUUGCGUCCCCUUGCCGCUGCCGGGGCCGCCGAGCACGAACACGAUCUGGGCGUCGGCAGGCAGGUUGCCGGGCACAGGUGGCAGCGCGAUGUCCUGCAUAAAAGCAACCAAGGGAACAAACGUGCAAUCAUAAGGUGUUGGCUGUGGCGCCGACCAUGACCCAGUGCCCUUGUACACAAAGCAAUGGGGCGUGCCGUACGCGCCGCACACACAGAACAGCGGUUUGGUGGCUGGAAACAUAAGAUGCGGCACGGUAUCCCUAUCUGCAGGUCGGCUUCUCAAGUGUUCAACUUAGGCAAGACGCACCUCCGAAGCAGCCGGGGCCGCUGCAAGUGCCGUCGCCGCUGCGCUCGCCUUCUUCGGCGCGUGCAAGCCCUCCAGCACCACCUUCACCUUGCCGUACACAUCGUCCGGAGCCGCCACAGCGCUGAUCACGUGGCACUUGCCCUGCGUAAGGUAGUGGUCCUUCACGGGCAGCGACUGAUCCAGGAAGGUGUGGAAGCGCUUGCGAAUGGUGUCGGCGUUGUCGUCGCUGCGGCCGCUGGUCUCCCCGCGCUUCAGCAGGCGCUUCUCCAUCUCCUCCUCCGGGCAGUCAAAGAACAGCACCGUCUUGCACGGCAUGAUGCUGUUCUCAAACUGCGCCGCCUGGUCCAGCGCGCGCGGAAAGCCGUCGAUGAGGAAGAACUUGCCGCCGCUGGCUAUCAUGUCCCGCUUCAGCAG